Molecule: ribosomal RNA, 1442 nt
Filed under: Serratia marcescens
Lineage: Bacteria; Pseudomonadati; Pseudomonadota; Gammaproteobacteria; Enterobacterales; Yersiniaceae
Also listed under: 2 other names
Description: partial 23S ribosomal RNA
Rfam family: Bacterial large subunit ribosomal RNA
Source: RNAcentral
GGUUAAGUGACUAAGCGUACACGGUGGAUGCCUAGGCAGUCAGAGGCGAUGAAGGGCGUGCUAAUCUGCGAAAAGCGUCGGUAAGGUGAUAUGAACCGUUAUAACCGGCGAUACCCGAAUGGGGAAACCCAGUGUGUUUCGACACACUAUCAUGUCAUGAAUACAUAGUGGCAUGAGGCGAACCGGGGGAACUGAAACAUCUAAGUACCCCGAGGAAAAGAAAUCAACCGAGAUUCCCCCAGUAGCGGCGAGCGAACGGGGAGGAGCCCAGAACCUGAAUCGGCUUGUGUGUUAGUGGAAGCGUCUGGAAAGUCGCGCAGCAAAGGGUGAUAGCCCCGUACACUAAAAUGCACAGGUCGUGAGUUCGAUGAGUAGGGCGGGACACGUGACAUCCUGUCUGAAUAUGGGGGGACCAUCCUCCAAGGCUAAAUACUCCUGACUGACCGAUAGUGAACCAGUACCGUGAGGGAAAGGCGAAAAGAACCCCGGCGAGGGGAGUGAAAUAGAACCUGAAACCGUGUACGUACAAGCAGUGGGAGCACCUUCGUGGUGUGACUGCGUACCUUUUGUAUAAUGGGUCAGCGACUUAUAUUUUGUAGCAAGGUUAACCGUAUAGGGGAGCCGUAGGGAAACCGAGUCUUAACUGGGCGAUUAGUUGCAAGGUAUAGACCCGAAACCCGGUGAUCUAGCCAUGGGCAGGUUGAAGGUUGGGUAACACUAACUGGAGGACCGAACCGACUAAUGUUGAAAAAUUAGCGGAUGACUUGUGGCUGGGGGUGAAAGGCCAAUCAAACCGGGAGAUAGCUGGUUCUCCCCGAAAGCUAUUUAGGUAGCGCCUCGUGAACUCAUCUUCGGGGGUAGAGCACUGUUUCGGCUAGGGGGCCAUCCCGGCUUACCAAACCGAUGCAAACUCCGAAUACCGAAGAAUGUUAUCACGGGAGACACACGGCGGGUGCUAACGUCCGUCGUGAAGAGGGAAACAACCCAGACCGCCAGCUAAGGUCCCAAAGUCAUGGUUAAGUGGGAAACGAUGUGGGAAGGCAUAGACAGCCAGGAUGUUGGCUUAGAAGCAGCCAUCAUUUAAAGAAAGCGUAAUAGCUCACUGGUCGAGUCGGCCUGCGCGGAAGAUGUAACGGGGCUAAACCAUGCACCGAAGCUGCGGCAGCGACGCUUAGGCGUUGUUGGGUAGGGGAGCGUUCUGUAAGCCGUUGAAGGUGGCCUGUGAGGGUUGCUGGAGGUAUCAGAAGUGCGAAUGCUGACAUAAGUAACGAUAAAGCGGGUGAAAAGCCCGCUCGCCGGAAGACCAAGGGUUCCUGUCCAACGUUAAUCGGGGCAGGGUGAGUCGACCCCUAAGGCGAGGCUGAAAAGCGUAGUCGAUGGGAAACAGGUUAAUAUUCCUGUACUUGGUGUUACUGCGAAGGGGGGACGGAGAAGGCUAGGCU